GACGAACGCUGGCGGCGUGCUUAACACAUGCAAGUCGAACGGAAAGGCCCUGCUUUUGUGGGGUGCUCGAGUGGCGAACGGGUGAGUAACACGUGAGUAACCUGCCCUUUACUUUGGGAUAACUUCAGGAAACUGGGGCUAAUACCGGAUAGGAGCUCCUGCUGCAUGGUGGGGGUUGGAAAGUUUCGGCGGUUGGGGAUGGACUCGCGGCUCAUCAGCUUGUUGGUGGGGUAGUGGCUUACCAAGGCUUUGACGGGUAGCCGGCCUGAGAGGGUGACCGGCCACAUUGGGACUGAGAUACGGGCCAGACUCAUACGGGAGGCAGCAGUGGGGGAUAUUGCGCAAUGGGCGGAAGCCUGAUGCAGCAACGCCGCGUGCGGGAUGACGGCCUUCGGGUUGUAAACCGCUUUCGCCUGUGACGAAGCGUGAGUGACGGUAAUGGGUAAAGAAGCACCGGCUAACUACGUG
RNAcentral lists this ribosomal RNA (468 nucleotides) under uncultured bacterium. Its description in RNAcentral is "partial 16S ribosomal RNA". It matches the Rfam family "Bacterial small subunit ribosomal RNA", at positions 28 to 507 of the family's 1533-position model. The record is from RNAcentral.